RNAcentral lists this unclassified non-coding RNA (736 nucleotides) under Hevea brasiliensis (rubber tree). The record is from RNAcentral. Lineage: Eukaryota; Viridiplantae; Streptophyta; Magnoliopsida; Malpighiales; Euphorbiaceae.
AAAUUAAGUAUCAACAGACCUAACAGGGAAAGAAUGUUAAAAUAUUGAUAUCAAUCUCAUCAACAUAAAUCACAAAACAUUCUUACUGUGCAAUUCAUGCAGAAACUGUCAAUUACUUGCAAUUUUCCUAUAUACUGUAAUUACAAAAGAAGUUUUGAGCUACUAUACUACGACGAUGAGUAUGACAAAACAAUCAUAAUUUUCAUAUGAUAACACAUAAUUUGCUCCCUUUUUUGAGGAUAAUGAAGAUAGUAACUUAAGAAAAGCAAGAUAAAAUAUAAGAUAAUAAACUCCAGAUAAGAUUGACAGACUGCCCUUGACUAAAGACAAGAGUUCCAGUUAGUUUUAUCUUACACCUUUUCAGUUUCACUAUGAAGUUGCAAAACUAAUAAGAUAUAUCAUUCACAGAUAUUUCAAAGCAAAAGUACAAGCAUGGCCAAUAUGGAUGUGGUCCUAUGUGGCUAUGUCCCACACCCAACACCAACACUUAGAUAUCAGAAAUGCUGCUCUAAUCUCAUUCUUUAUGUAAGAUAACCACAGUUGCACUAGUAUAUUGAUUGUAAACAGAAGAGUAAUAACAUAAUGAUUUACAUUCAUCAAUUCAAAACAUAUUUAUCCCCCUAAAAUACUUCCGUUCCACUCUAGCUUCAAGCUUCUAAGAUACAGUUUCAAACAAAAAAAGUAAUAAAUUAAAAAAAAAGGUCUAAGAGAAGUUUUUUAGCAAUUUUAGUUGUUG